AAACGGGGUCUAAUACCGGAUACGACCUGCCGAGGCAUCUUGGCGGGUGGAAAGCUCCGGCGGUGAAGGAUGAGCCCGCGGCCUAUCAGCUUGUUGGUGGGGUAAUGGCCUACCAAGGCGACGACGGGUAGCCGGCCUGAGAGGGCGACCGGCCACACUGGGACUGAGACACGGCCCAGACUCCUACGGGAGGCAGCAGUGGGGAAUAUUGCACAAUGGGCGAAAGCCUGAUGCAGCGACGCCGCGUGAGGGAUGACGGCCUUCGGGUUGUAAACCUCUUUCAGCAGGGAAGAAGCGCAAGUGACGGUACCUGCAGAAGAAGCGCCGGCUAACUACGUGCCAGC
The sequence is a ribosomal RNA, 344 nucleotides long. It matches the Rfam family "Bacterial small subunit ribosomal RNA", at positions 154 to 512 of the family's 1533-position model.